This 114-nucleotide non-coding RNA is filed under the name bacterium SM23_31. Its description in RNAcentral is "Bacterium SM23 TPP sequence". It matches the Rfam family "TPP riboswitch aptamer (THI element)". Rfam says of the family: Vitamin B(1) in its active form thiamin pyrophosphate (TPP) is an essential coenzyme that is synthesised by coupling of pyrimidine and thiazole moieties in bacteria. The previously detected thiamin-regulatory element, thi box was extended, resulting in a new, highly conserved RNA secondary structure, the THI element, which is widely distributed in eubacteria and also occurs in some archaea. The record is from RNAcentral.
UUAAUAUGCACGGGGAGCUUGGUAAUGCCAGGCUGAGAGGAGUGUCAUGGGAACACUCGACCCGCGGACCUGAUCCGGAUAAUGCCGGCGGAGGAAAAGCUAUCAUCCUUGAAA